Long non-coding RNA from Manis pentadactyla (Chinese pangolin), 672 nucleotides. RefSeq lists it as uncharacterized. The record is from RefSeq and is a predicted model, not a curated record. The transcript has 2 exons. NCBI's taxonomy places the organism in Eukaryota, Metazoa, Chordata, Mammalia, Pholidota, Manidae.
UUUUUCCAGCUGUCCUUUCUCCUGAGCACCAAGUUUAGUGCAAUCUUUGCCCCUUUAGCAGCCCUCUAGCUGCUAGGAAGUCUCUCAGACUGCCCGCUUUUCUUUUGUCCCAGAGUGGCUGGAUUCUCAGUCUCUCCAAGUAUUCUGCCUGUUUUAGCUUUCCAACCCCACUAAUCUCCAGAGCAACAUGUAAUGUAUGUUCAUGCUCCCAGAGCAGAUCUCCAGGGCUGGGUGGUCAGCAGUCCUAGGCCUCUACCUCCUCCCUGCUCCAUUUCUCUUCCAGUGAGCUGGGGUGGUGGAAGGGCUUGUGUCCCACUGGAUCAUGGCUUUGGUACUUUACCCUGUUCCAUGAGGUCUGUUCUUUUCUCCAAGUGUAUGCAGUCUGGCGCAGCCUUCUUUCCUGUUGCUCUUUCAGGAUUAGUUGUAUUAACUAUAUUUUCUUAUUACAUGUGGGUUAGUGAGGAGGUUUCUGUCUCACCUUUCAUGCCACCAUCUUUAAUCCCAGGGCCUCUGUUUAAUUUUUUUUUGCCCAUUUUAUUACUGUGUUUUUUAUUUUUCCCCUUAUUAAGUUAUAAGGGUAUUUUUUACACUCUGGAUAUACUACCUCUAUCAGAUGUAUGAGUUGAAAGAUAUUGUCUCCCAGUCUUUGGCUUGUCCUUUCAUUUUUUUUUU